UGAUGAUGUGCAGAAGUAACAUCUGUUACUCCAUAGAUCACACGGACUAAUGUGGCUGAUCUAGAUGGCUAUGAGCAUUGUUCCUUCCUGCCUCUCUGUUCCAUGUUUACUCUUCCUGAAGCUGCGAGCUCAGAUGAAGAGGACAACUUUCCAUAAUAGGGCAGGAUCAUUCUUGGGUCACAGAUAUGAGGAGCUGUACUUCUCUGCUAGAACCUCCAAACAAAUCUGCCAUGGUCCAUAUAAGGCUCUGUAAUUAAGUGGAAAGAUUGGGGCAAUAUCUACUUGAAGCAUUGCCUAACUAU
RNAcentral lists this small nuclear RNA (302 nucleotides) under Microtus ochrogaster (prairie vole). RNAcentral's name for it is "7SK RNA (ENSMOCG00000005909.1)". It matches the Rfam family "7SK RNA". Rfam says of the family: 7SK was discovered as an abundant small nuclear RNA in the mid-70s but a possible function has only recently been suggested. Two independent studies have found that 7SK RNA binds the CDK9/cyclin T complex (known as elongation factor P-TEFb). Lineage: Eukaryota; Metazoa; Chordata; Mammalia; Rodentia; Cricetidae. The record is from RNAcentral.